RNAcentral lists this ribosomal RNA (453 nucleotides) under uncultured fungus. Its description in RNAcentral is "SSU rRNA". It matches the Rfam family "Eukaryotic small subunit ribosomal RNA", at positions 624 to 1081 of the family's 1831-position model. Lineage: Eukaryota; Fungi. The record is from RNAcentral.
AAGCUCGUAGUAGAAACUCGGGCUCCGGCCGACUGGUCCGCCUCACUGCGUGCACUGGUUCGGCCGGGCCUUCACCUUCUGCGGAACCGCAUCUCCUUCACUGGGGGUGUCGGGGAAACAGGACGUUUACUGUGAAAAAAUUAGAGUGCUCCAGGCAGGCCUAUGCUCGAAUAGAUUAGCAUGGAAUAAUGGAAUAGGACGUGUGGUCUUAUUUCGUUGGUUUCUAGGACCGCCGUAAUGAUUAAUAGGGACAGUCGGGGGCAUCAGUAUUCAAUCGUCAGAGGUGAAAUUCUUGGAUCGAUUGAAGACUAACUACUGCGAAAGCAUUUGCCAAGGAUGUCUUCAUUUAUCAGGAACGAAAGUUAGGGGAUCGAAGACGAUCAGAUACCGUCGUAGUCUUAACCAUAAACUAUGCCGACUAGGGAUCGGACGGUGUUAUUUCUUGACCCGUUC